CAUGACCACUAUCAAAAACACAGUGUCUGGACAGCUCAAGUUGGGAUAACUUGGGGGAAAAUCAUUUCCUGAAUAUUGUAGUUAUCAAUCAAGAAAGAAAACAGCACUUCCUUUUAUUGGUGGUUGGAAAGUACUAUUGCUCAGUUAUUACAAAUGGAGCUGUCAAACUGGUGUGACAUGUGCUGAACUCCUGCUUUAGAAGAGAUGCACCGAUUCUCUGAGGGACCUGCAUUGGCUCUCAGUAACACACAGUUACUGGAACUGGUGUUGGACUGGAGUACCCCACAGAAGGAUGCGGGGUCUGAAGACAGUAUUUCUAUUUAUGGAAAUCUAGACGUGAUUUUUAAUCUUUUGAGAGGAGUGACAAAGAAUGCAUGUGAGACUGUGCCCAAGAUUUUUGAUUCAGAUAUCAUUAUAUUAAAAUAAAUGUUCUAACAUUCUAACGAGCUGGUUCAAGACUAUUUUUGGAGCACUUUCAUUCCUGCCCUUUUGCAACCCUCUGUUACACUACACCUAUAUGUUAAAUGAUCAAUAACUUCUUUCUGAAGUCCCUGCACAACCCAAUUCUUACCCACCCUAAAAGAAAAAUCCAAGUUAUAAUAAUGUAUUUACAAAAAAGCAUGGCUUAUUGUCAAAAAUCUUUUUGCAUUUAAAAGAAUGAGAUACUAAACCUUUUAUUUACAGCAAUGGGUAGGGGUGAGAUGAAAGAGGUGGCAGGGGUUUUCACCCCAACUUUUUACUUACCUACCUCCACCCACUCUAGAAGUUUGUUCCCAGGGGAGCGAUCCCUUUGAAAUAUAAAUGUUGACUCUCCUAGAUAUUGAUGGCCAUAUUACCCACCCACCAGCCAAUCAGAGUCAGCUUUGGGAAAUGGUCUCUCUCCAACCCUACACAGCAAUCAGUCUAUGAUACUUAAAAGGCUUUAUUUGCCAAAGAAUACUUCACAGUGUGGCAGAGAACACCAGAGUCCAGUGUGAAAUGAUGCUGUGUCUCCUUUUGUCUUAUGAGGGCAGUGAAGACUAAAGCUUCAGAUGGUUCAUAGGUGCUAAGAGGCAGAUGUACAUUUAAGGGAAGGAGAGAUCAGUCAGAAUACCAAAGAAAAUUAAUUUCAUUUCUUACAAAUGAACCCUGCAGAAUGCUUAUAUCUAAUAUACCAUUGCCGUAUAUGUUGCAAUUCGAAGUAUCAACUGAAAAAAUUCAGCCAUUCAGCAGGCAAAAACUUCAUUUAUGUAGACCAACUGACAAAGGCAAUGGCUGCUGUUUCUGGAUUCUAUGGUGAACCUGGAUGACAUGUUAUGGACAGUUUAAUGGUAAAAGCUAAGACAUUGGGGAAUGUCAGGGUGUACUCACUCUGACAAACACAGCACCGGCUAGACUAAACUCUUAUUCAUUCAUAUCAUGGUGAAGAUUAAAUCACAAAAGCCCCUGAGUUUAGAUUUUUCUUUUGCUAGAAGGGUCGUUAAAAAUGUGUGCAUGUACGUGUAUAUAAAAACACUUUUACAGGGUUUUACUUUAUAUAAAUUUUGUGUUUUGUGUGUUUUGAUUCCUUGUGGGAUCUGGAUUCUGCCCUUAUCACUCUCAGAACAGGUAAGGGAGCUUUUCUGCCCAUUACUUUCUUUGUGGGAUAUAUCAUAAAGUGCUCUGGUGAAUGAGUUGGGCAAUACCAAAUACUAUAAAUCUGGAAGAGAGCAGGUAAGGGUCAGAUAGGAAUGGAUACUUUAGAAAGAACGCUCCAUGGAUAGAAACUGUUCCUUACUCUGAUCCUUUGAAUUGCAUUAGCACCUGGUUUGUGAGGAUCUCAAAACACUUAACAGACAGACUGAUAAUUGACAACGGCGUUAAUUAAUUAGUUAAGUAAUUAACAGCAUUAAUUCAUUUUUUAUGUUUCUGCUUUAAGCCUCACAAUAUCCCUGUGAGGUAGGUAAAUAGCAUUCUGGCCCCAUUUUUCCCUCCCCCCAACACAUACACCCACUCCCACCAUGAUUCUGGCAAGAGGUGGAAUGGAUUACAUAAUGUUAUACACAGUGAAUUCAUGAUUGAGCUGGGGAACAAAUAGGAAAGUCCAAUCUCUUAGUCCUCAGCUCUUAACCACACAGGAAAUGCUCUCUCCAGAACACACAAAGGCAGGACAGGCUUGGAAAGAGUUUAUAAAGCACAAGUGAGGGGUAUUUUUUGUUUUGUUUUGUUUUUCUAAAAAUUCAAUUUUUUUUAAAAAAAAAUCUUUGUUGCUUUAUACCAGAUGGUGCCUUAUUUGGCAAUAUGACCCUGGCCCAAUAUUUAAUUGAUUUUCAAUAUACUUGUAUAUGUGUAUGGAUGGAUGGAUAUAUGUUGACAUACACAUAUGAUUUAUGCAUGGAUGGAUACAAAGUCACUCUACCCAAUGCCUGCUUCAGAUCAUCUCAUGGACUUGUAUUAUCCAUGUUUAAAGAUCAUUGUGUUCCCCUUAUAUUUAAAAAAUUCAAACUGAAUUCAAUGAGGAGGCUAAAUAUUGGUGCAGAGGCAGCGAUGCAUGCAACUAAGCCUGAGCCUGUUGUAUUUAACAAUCACAAGAGCUGAAUCAAUGCUAAGCUGAAAAAUAUUGACUGGGAUAGUGAGAACAGAAGAAAAGGGAGACUUAUUCUCAACCCAAAGGCUGCUUGCCAGGGGAAGAGGAACAAUUGGCUUUGGCCCUCCAUGUAGUACCCUAAGCUAAGAGAGGGCAAAAUCCUGAGAAAUGCAUGGGGCCCCAUUUCAGGGAAAUACUCUGACUUCUCCGCCAACAUGUGAAGACAGAUCCAACUGGGAUGAUUUCCUUUCCAAUUAUGUCAAAAACAUAAGCAUCAGGUCACUUAACCUCCAUGACUCAUCCUUUCAUUAUACAACUUCAGGCUAAGUCUAAAUGAUCUCAAAGACCCCUUCUGACUCUAAAAUGCUAUGGUUCUGUGAUUGUAUAUAGACCUUAAAUAAAGGACAUGGGAAGCUAAUGACAGCCCAUUAGAAUGCAUAUUCUUCUUCUUUCAGGUAGUGUCUCUGCCUGUUUUGGUUUUUAUUUCUUUCCUCAGCCAAGUACUUGAUAAAUGCUUACUGAGCACCAUCUUCCAUCUUAUUCUGUCCUAUGUCAGACCUCCCUCUCUGAAAGAUGGCUAGUCCUAUUUUGCUAUUUAAUCUACUUAUCAUUCCUGUCAAUGUGUCUGGAUGAUUGCUCUCACUCUGUGUCUUCCUAUUGGAAGAAUUAAGUGAUUGUUGGGAGGAGACAACUAUAGAUGGGCCACAUGGCCUAAGCCAGGCUAGCAAUUGCCAUUUCCAAAAGCACCAGAACUAACUAGCUUGGUUUUUCUCUUUUGGUUUUAAGGGAAUGCUAAUAGGGUAAUAUUGAGCAAGAAAACUAAGAAUGAUGUUAAGAUCUGGAAACUUCCCCCCUUCUCUUUUAGGUAUUAACAAAUGUCUUCUC
RNAcentral lists this long non-coding RNA (3430 nucleotides) under Sarcophilus harrisii (Tasmanian devil). RNAcentral describes it as "lncRNA (ENSSHAG00000027507.1)". Lineage: Eukaryota; Metazoa; Chordata; Mammalia; Dasyuromorphia; Dasyuridae. The record is from RNAcentral.